RNAcentral lists this ribosomal RNA (1287 nucleotides) under metagenome. RNAcentral describes it as "bacterial SSU rRNA". It matches the Rfam family "Bacterial small subunit ribosomal RNA", at positions 242 to 1520 of the family's 1533-position model. The record is from RNAcentral.
UAGCUAGUUGGUGAGGUAACGGCUUACCAAGGCGACGAUCUGUAGCGGGUCUGAGAGGAUGAUCCGCCACACUGGAAUUGAGACACGGUCCAGACUCCUACGGGAGGCAGCAGUGGGGAAUUUUGGACAAUGGGGGCAACCCUGAUCCAGCCAUGCCGCGUGAGUGAAGAAGGCCUUCGGGUUGUAAAGCUCUUUCGGCCGGGAAGAAAUCGCAUGGGCCAAUACCCUGUGUGGAUGACGGUACCGGAAUAAGAAGCACCGGCUAACUACGUGCCAGCAGCCGCGGUAAUACGUAGGGUGCGAGCGUUAAUCGGAAUUACUGGGCGUAAAGCGUGCGCAGGCGGUUUUGUAAGACAGGCGUGAAAUCCCCGGGCUCAACCUGGGAACUGCGUUUGUGACUGCAAGGCUAGAGUACGGCAGAGGGGGGUGGAACUCCACGUGUAGCAGUGAAAUGCGUAGAGAUGUGGAGGAACACCAAUGGCGAAGGCAGCCCCCUGGGUCGAUACUGACGCUCAUGCACGAAAGCGUGGGUAGCAAACAGGAUUAGAUACCCUGGUAGUCCACGCCCUAAACUAUGUCAACUAGGUGUUGGGUGGGUAAAACCAUUUAGUACCGUAGCUAACGCGUGAAGUUGACCGCCUGGGGAGUACGGCCGCAAGGUUAAAACUCAAAGGAAUUGACGGGGACCCACACAAGCGGUGGAUGAUGUGGAUUAAUUCGAUGCAACGCGAAAAACCUUACCUACCCUUGACAUGCCAGGAACUUGCCAGAGAUGGCUUGGUGCCCGAAAGGGAGCCUGGACACAGGUGCUGCAUGGCUGUCGUCAGCUCGUGUCGUGAGAUGUUGGGUUAAGUCCCGCAACGAGCGCAACCCUUGUCGUUAAUUGCCAUCAUUUAGUUGGGCACUUUAGCGAGACUGCCGGUGACAAACCGGAGGAAGGUGGGGAUGACGUCAAGUCCUCAUGGCCCUUAUGGGUAGGGCUUCACACGUCAUACAAUGGUCGGUACAGAGGGUCGCCAAGCCGCGAGGUGGAGCCAAUCCCAGAAAGCCGAUCGUAGUCCGGAUUGCAGGCUGCAACUCGCCUGCAUGAAGUCGGAAUCGCUAGUAAUCGUGGAUCAGCAUGUCACGGUGAAUACGUUCCCGGGUCUUGUACACACCGCCCGUCACACCAUGGGAGCGGGUUCCGCCAGAAGUAGGUAGCCUAACCGCAAGGAGGGCGCUUACCACGGCGGGGUUCGUGACUGGGGUGAAGUCGUAACAAGGUAGCCGUAGGGGAACCUGCGGCUG